UUCCAAACAUUUAAAUGAAAUUUACCAUUAUAUCUUCUUUGUUCCCCAUAUCAGUGAGUGAUAACACCAGGUUCCUAGCCAUAACCUGGGCCUUCUCUUUAACUCUAGUCUGUGCUUUACUCCCAACAUACACUCAGUCACAAAGUUAUAAAGAUUGUAUAAGGAUUGAGUCAAGCAUUAUCAAAUUCAUCUAUUCAUCUCAUCUUAUUUCUUGCCCACAUUCCUUCAAAAGUCUAUUAUCUGCUCUCCUAGUAUUCACCAUUGGCUCUGUCUGAACUGUUCUCCGUAUAGCAGCCCCAAAAUGUGUAUAAAACCUAAUCAGGACAGGGUUGGGACUGUAGCUCAGUGGCAAAGUGCUUGCCUAGCAUGUGUGAGGCGCUGGCUUCAAUCCUCAGCACCACAUAAAAAUUAACAAAUAAAAUAAAGGCAUUAUGUCCAUCUACAACCACAAAAAUUGUUUUAAAAAAACAUAACCAGGACAUAUUUAUGCUUGAAACUCUUCAAUGACUUUUGUUCUUAGGAUAAAGUUCUAACUAUCAGGCCCUACAUGAUCUAUUCCAUUCUUAGCUCUUGGGCUUCACCUCCUGUUAUUCUCACUUGUACAUUUUAUGCUUUAGUUAUAUCAAUGUUUAUUUAAUUUCUCUAAGCUUUAUCCAUGCUAAUUAACUUUUCCUAUUUAC
Molecule: long non-coding RNA, 680 nt
Filed under: Marmota monax (woodchuck)
Lineage: Eukaryota; Metazoa; Chordata; Mammalia; Rodentia; Sciuridae
Source: RNAcentral